RNAcentral lists this ribosomal RNA (261 nucleotides) under uncultured bacterium. RNAcentral's name for it is "partial 16S ribosomal RNA". It matches the Rfam family "Bacterial small subunit ribosomal RNA", at positions 524 to 783 of the family's 1533-position model. The record is from RNAcentral.
UACGUAGGGUGCAGGCGUUAAUCGGAAUUACUGGGCGUAAAGCGUGCGCAGGCGGUUUGCUAAGACAGGUGUGAAAUCCCCGGGCUUAACCUGGGAACUGCGCUUGUAACUGGCAAGCUGGAGUGUGGCAGAGGGGGGGUGGAAUUCCACGUGUAGCAGUGAAAUGCGUAGAGAUGUGGAGGAACACCGAUGGCGAAGGCAGCCCCCUGGGCUAACACUGACGCUCAUGCACGAAAGCGUGGGGAGCAAACAGGAUUAGAU